Molecule: unclassified non-coding RNA, 343 nt
Filed under: soil metagenome
Description: partial contains 5.8S ribosomal RNA, internal transcribed spacer 2, and large subunit ribosomal RNA
Rfam family: 5.8S ribosomal RNA (bases 1-120)
Source: RNAcentral
GAUGAAGAACGCAGCGAAAUGCGAUACGUAAUGUGAAUUGCAGAAUCCAGUGAAUCAUCGAAUCUUUGAACGCACAUUGCGCCCGCCAGCAUUCUGGCGGGCAUGCCUGUUCGAGCGUCAUUUCAACCCUCGACCUCCCCUUGGGGAGGUCGGCGUUGGGGACCGGCAGCACACCGCCGGCCCUGAAAUGGAGUGGCGGCCCGUCCGCGGCGACCUCUGCGCAGUAAUACAGCUCGCACCGGGACCCCGACGCGGCCACGCCGUAAAACACCCAACUUCUGAACGUUGACCUCGAAUCAGGUAGGACUACCCGCUGAACUUAAGCAUAUCAAUAAGCGGAGGA